This 253-nucleotide ribosomal RNA is filed under the name uncultured bacterium. Its description in RNAcentral is "partial 16S ribosomal RNA". It matches the Rfam family "Bacterial small subunit ribosomal RNA", at positions 524 to 776 of the family's 1533-position model. The record is from RNAcentral.
UACGUAGGUGGCUAGCGUUGUCCGGAUUUACUGGGCGUAAAGGGUGCGUAGGCGGUCGGGUAAGUCUGAUGUGAAAUCUCACAGCUUAACUGUGAAACUGCAUUGGAUACUAUCCGGCUCGAGGAAUGGAGGGGAGACUGGAAUACUUGGUGUAGCAGUGAAAUGCGUAGAUAUCAAGUGGAACACCAGUGGCGAAGGCGAGUCUCUGGACAUUUCCUGACGCUGAGGCACGAAAGCCAGGGGAGCAAACGGG